This 253-nucleotide ribosomal RNA is filed under the name uncultured bacterium. RNAcentral describes it as "partial 16S ribosomal RNA". It matches the Rfam family "Bacterial small subunit ribosomal RNA", at positions 524 to 776 of the family's 1533-position model. The record is from RNAcentral.
UACGUAGGGGGCAAGCGUUGUCCGGAAUCAUUGGGCGUAAAGCGCGUGUAGGCGGGUCGUUAAGUCUGCUCUGAAAGUCCAAGGCUCAACCUUGGGAUGCGGGUGGAUACUGGCGACCUUGAGUCCGGAAGAGGCGAGUGGAAUUCCUGGUGUAGCGGUGAAAUGCGCAGAUAUCAGGAGGAACACCAAUGGCGAAGGCAGCUCGCUGGGACGUGACUGACGCUGAGACGCGAAAGCGUGGGGAGCAAACAGG